GGCCAUUAAAGAUUUAACAUUAGGCAGUACAGUUGAGUCUAGGCGAUUUGGCAAUUCUGACUCCUCACUCCUUAGUCCUCACAAAUUCCGGGCAAACGAAGAUGUUGCUGUUGCGAACUUGCCGAUAGUUUCAAUUUUCAAAGGUGUUCUUGGCAUUGGCACAGUGCAAUUGGCUGUUCAGGUGUUCUUGAUAUUACUACUGCAUGUUAGUUACAAUUGCAGCUUGGCAGUGUGUAAAUGUUUGGCAUUAGCAGUGUGUAAAUGUUAGUUACAAUUGCAGCUUGGCAUUGACAGUGUGUAAAUGUUUUGUUGCAUGUUAAUAUUGUCUAAUUCUGAUUUCUGCAUAUGCUUGUUACAUGGCCUCAUGGCAGAUGUUGUUGCUGUGUUGUGUAUGAAGAUGGUUGCAGGCUGCAGCAGAAGUGUUGCAAAAAUUCCAUUUUGACCUUAGUUCCUAACAGUGCUAUAGUAGCAGCAGUUUGUGUUUUUUUUUUAAAUUUUCCCGUUAAUGCAUUUUUUUAUGCGUGGUUAA
Molecule: long non-coding RNA, 529 nt
Organism: Nicotiana tabacum (common tobacco)
Lineage: Eukaryota; Viridiplantae; Streptophyta; Magnoliopsida; Solanales; Solanaceae
Source: RefSeq, a predicted model, not a curated record